This 269-nucleotide ribosomal RNA is filed under the name Megalophaedusa pinguis. RNAcentral describes it as "partial 16S ribosomal RNA". Lineage: Eukaryota; Metazoa; Mollusca; Gastropoda; Stylommatophora; Clausiliidae. The record is from RNAcentral.
UUUCUGUCUCUUCUAAUUUUUCUUUAACUUAAUUAAAGAGUGAAAAUACUCUUAAUAAACUUAAUAGACGAGAAGACCCUUAGAAUUAUCAAUAUACCUGAUCGACUUAAUUUCAGGUUUUUUUUUGUUGGGGCAACAAGGGUAAAAUAAUCUACAAAACUACCCUACUGCAAUCGUCUACUAGCCGAAAAUUUUUAAGAGGGAUUUAAUUACCUAAGGGAUAACAGCAUAAUUAUAUUAAAUAGUUUGUGACCUCGAUGUUGGACUAG